This is a non-coding RNA of Anoplophora glabripennis (Asian longhorned beetle), 68 nucleotides long. Lineage: Eukaryota; Metazoa; Arthropoda; Insecta; Coleoptera; Cerambycidae. The record is from the annotation of a RefSeq genome assembly.
AAUGAAGUGCCUGAUAAAAGGAUAAUUUUGAUAGAAUUAAUAAUGUGAUAUUCCCCCCACCUUCAUUA